GACGAACGCUGGCGGCGUGCUUAACACAUGCAAGUCGAACGGAAAGGCCCUGCUUUUGCGGGGUGCUCGAGUGGCGAACGGGUGAGUAACACGUGAGUAACCUGCCCUUGACUUUGUGAUAACUUCAGGAAACUGGGGCUAAUACCGGAUAGGAGCUCCUGCUGCAUGGGGGGGGUUGGAAAGUUUCGGCGGUUGGGGAUGGACUCGCGGCUUAUGAGCUUGUUGGUGGGGUAGUGGCUUACCAAGGCUUUGACGGGUAGCCGGCCUGAGAGGGUGACCGGCGACAUUGGGACUGAGAUACGGCGCAGACUGCUACGGGCGGCAGAAGUGGGGAAUAUUGCACAAUGGGCGGAAGCGUGAUGCAGAAGCGCCGCGUGCGGGAUGACGGCCUUCGGGUUGUAAACCGAUUUCGACUGUGACGAAGCGUGAGUGACGGUAAUGGGUAAAGAAGCACCGGCUAACUACGUG
RNAcentral lists this ribosomal RNA (468 nucleotides) under uncultured bacterium. RNAcentral describes it as "partial 16S ribosomal RNA". It matches the Rfam family "Bacterial small subunit ribosomal RNA", at positions 28 to 507 of the family's 1533-position model. The record is from RNAcentral.